This 252-nucleotide ribosomal RNA is filed under the name uncultured bacterium. RNAcentral's name for it is "partial 16S ribosomal RNA". It matches the Rfam family "Bacterial small subunit ribosomal RNA", at positions 524 to 776 of the family's 1533-position model. The record is from RNAcentral.
UACGGAGGAUGCGAGCGUUAUCCGGAUUUAUUGGGUUUAAAGGGUGCGCAGGCGGCACGGCAAGCCGGCGGUCAAAUCGCGGGGCUCAACCCCGCCCAGCCGUCGGAACUGCCGGGCUAGAGUGGGCGAGAAGUGCGCGGAAUGCGUGGUGUAGCGGUGAAACGCAUAGAUAUCACGCAGAACUCCGAUUGCGAAGGCAGCGCACCGGCGCCCUACUGACGCUCAGGCACGAAAGCGUGGGUAUCGAACAGG